GCCCUACGGGGCGCAGCAGUGGGGGAUAUUGCACAAUGGGGGAAACCCUGAUGCAGCAACGCCGCGUGAGUGAAGAAGUAUUUCGGUAUGUAAAGCUCUAUCAGCAGGGAAGAGAAUGACGGUACCUGACUAAGAAGCCCCGGCUAACUACGUGCCAGCAGCCGCGGUAAUACGUAGGGGGCGAGCGUUAUCCGGAUUUACUGGGUGUAAAGGGAGUGCAGGCGGUUCAAUAAGUCUGAUGUGAAAGCCUU
RNAcentral lists this ribosomal RNA (251 nucleotides) under uncultured bacterium. RNAcentral's name for it is "partial 16S ribosomal RNA". It matches the Rfam family "Bacterial small subunit ribosomal RNA", at positions 335 to 604 of the family's 1533-position model. The record is from RNAcentral.